AGGACGAACGCUGGCGGCGUGCUUAACACAUGCAAGUCGUGCGGAAAGGCCCCUUCGGGGGUGCUCGAGCGGCGAACGGGUGAGUAACACGUGAGUGACCUGCCCUCCACUCUGGGAUAACCCUCGGAAACGGGGGCUAAUACCGGAUAUGACCUGCUGCUGCAUGGUGGUGGGUGGAAAGGCUUUUGCUGGUGGGGGAUGGGCUCGCGGCCUAUCAGCUUGUUGGUGGGGUAAUGGCCUACCAAGGCGGUGACGGGUAGCCGGCCUGAGAGGGCGACCGGCCACACUGGGACUGAGACACGGCCCAGACUCCUACGGGAGGCAGCAGUGGGGAAUAUUGCACAAUGGGCGAAAGCCUGAUGCAGCGACGCCGCGUGAGGGAUGACGGCCUUCGGGUUGUAAACCUCUUUCAGCUCCGACGAAGCGCAAGUGACGGUAGGAGCAGAAGAAGCGCCGGCCAACUACGUGCCAGCAGCCGCGGUAAGACGUAGGGCGCGAGC
RNAcentral lists this ribosomal RNA (500 nucleotides) under uncultured Actinomycetes bacterium. RNAcentral describes it as "bacterial SSU rRNA". It matches the Rfam family "Bacterial small subunit ribosomal RNA", at positions 26 to 539 of the family's 1533-position model. Lineage: Bacteria; Bacillati; Actinomycetota; Actinomycetes. The record is from RNAcentral.